Salvia miltiorrhiza (redroot sage) is the source of this 584-nucleotide long non-coding RNA. RefSeq lists it as uncharacterized. The transcript has 2 exons. The record is from RefSeq and is a predicted model, not a curated record. Lineage: Eukaryota; Viridiplantae; Streptophyta; Magnoliopsida; Lamiales; Lamiaceae.
CACCCUCGAUUCUCCCUCUCUUUCGGACCUCCGGUGAUUUCAGCAGCGAUCAGCCGCUGCCCCCACCUUCUAUUUGUGCAGAAUCCGACGGCCGCCGCAGCUGAAGCUAGCCACCGUCGAUCCGCCCCUCUCCCUUGAAUCUCCGGCCACCGCCCGUAGAUCAGGCGACGCCACUUCUGACUCUCUCGACUCCGGCAGUAGCAGCUUUCGUAGCCACCACCACCGCCGUCGUCCUCCGCCGAACAGCCCCGCUGUCUAGCCGCUCACCACCAUCUCAGCCCCGACCAUCUCUCUCAAACCUUUUUCCCUCGCUCGUUCUUCUCUGUUAACGGAAACAGGACAGCAGACGCCCCGCCGUGGUUGGAGUCAACGGCGGGUCUGCCGCCGCCACGCCAUCACCGGCGAGCUUCCCGGGCCGCCGACUUCUGCCCUCGACACUCACACACAUACACAUGGGCUUAGCACAAAAAUUUAACCACAAUUAAAAGUAGGAUUAGGGCAGAUUUGUAUUACUAAACUGUAAAUUGUUUAAUGACAAUUUCUUAUUAAAGCUUCUAGAUCUGUAAAUUAUUAUUCUUCCUUCA